UAUAUAUAGUACGUCUCCCGUGCUUUCGAAAGUACGGAGGCCUUUGUACUUGUAAGUUGUUUUCGAUGAUAGGACAUCCGAUUCGACGAUCGGCUCCGUUAGGCAUAAUCUAUGCUAUUGAAACUAUUUAGAAACCAAAUUUUAUAAUUUUUUGACAUCAUUUGCCAAGCGAUCACAGGGUUUCAAAAAUGACUAUUUUAACGGUCGAUGUGGCACGUUUUUAAGUUCAACGGUGUAGAAGUAUUUAAAUUAUAUGAAACUUUAAUAGAAAAUUUUACUUAACAUCAAGAGUAAGAAUAAUUUUCGAUUUGAAAUUUGAGUCAUUUAUCACUAUUUUUUAUAAGAUUUUUUUUUCAGCCGUUCAUUUUGAGACUACUCGUUCACUAAGCAAACGAAGUUAAAAAACUAUGAAAUUUGGUUUCUAGAUAGUUCCAAUAGCGUAGAUCAUGUUUAGUGGAACUGAUCGCCGAAUCGAACGUCCCAUCAUUGAAAAUAACUUACAAAUACGGAGGCCUCCGUACUUUCAAAAGCAUAGGAGCCUAGCGCUCUCUCUCUCUCCUCUCUCUCUCUCUCUCUCUCUCUCUCUCUCUAUAUAUAUAUAUAUAUAUAAAAUAUUUUGAUUAAAAAUUUAAAAUUUAUAAAAAUAACUAUAAAAUAACAAAUAUUUUAAAAAAAUUUUAAAAAUAAAUUUGUAUUAUUUUUUGAAAAAAAAAAUU
This 716-nucleotide long non-coding RNA is filed under the name Ananas comosus (pineapple). RNAcentral describes it as "long non-coding RNA (ACOM_LNC036958)". The record is from RNAcentral. Lineage: Eukaryota; Viridiplantae; Streptophyta; Magnoliopsida; Poales; Bromeliaceae.